Molecule: ribosomal RNA, 1871 nt
Filed under: Staphylococcus aureus
Lineage: Bacteria; Bacillati; Bacillota; Bacilli; Caryophanales; Staphylococcaceae
Description: partial 23S ribosomal RNA
Rfam family: Bacterial large subunit ribosomal RNA
Source: RNAcentral
AUAUAUGUUAAGUGGAAAAGGAUGUGGCGUUGCCCAGACAACUAGGAUGUUGGCUUAGAAGCAGCCAUCAUUUAAAGAGUGCGUAAUAGCUCACUAGUCGAGUGACACUGCGCCGAAAAUGUACCGGGGCUAAACAUAUUACCGAAGCUGUGGAUUGUCCUUUGGACAAUGGUAGGAGAGCGUUCUAAGGGCGUUGAAGCAUGAUCGUAAGGACAUGUGGAGCGCUUAGAAGUGAGAAUGCCGGUGUGAGUAGCGAAAGACGGGUGAGAAUCCCGUCCACCGAUUGACUAAGGUUUCCAGAGGAAGGCUCGUCCGCUCUGGGUUAGUCGGGUCCUAAGCUGAGGCCGACAGGCGUAGGCGAUGGAUAACAGGUUGAUAUUCCUGUACCACCUAUAAUCGUUUUAAUCGAUGGGGGGACGCAGUAGGAUAGGCGAAGCGUGCGAUUGGAUUGCACGUCUAAGCAGUAAGGCUGAGUAUUAGGCAAAUCCGGUACUCGUUAAGGCUGAGCUGUGAUGGGGAGAAGACAUUGUGUCUUCGAGUCGUUGAUUUCACACUGCCGAGAAAAGCCUCUAGAUAGAAAAUAGGUGCCCGUACCGCAAACCGACACAGGUAGUCAAGAUGAGAAUUCUAAGGUGAGCGAGCGAACUCUCGUUAAGGAACUCGGCAAAAUGACCCCGUAACUUCGGGAGAAGGGGUGCUCUUUAGGGUUAACGCCCAGAAGAGCCGCAGUGAAUAGGCCCAAGCGACUGUUUAUCAAAAACACAGGUCUCUGCUAAACCGUAAGGUGAUGUAUAGGGGCUGACGCCUGCCCGGUGCUGGAAGGUUAAGAGGAGUGGUUAGCUUCUGCGAAGCUACGAAUCGAAGCCCCAGUAAACGGCGGCCGUAACUAUAACGGUCCUAAGGUAGCGAAAUUCCUUGUCGGGUAAGUUCCGACCCGCACGAAAGGCGUAACGAUUUGGGCACUGUCUCAACGAGAGACUCGGUGAAAUCAUAGUACCUGUGAAGAUGCAGGUUACCCGCGACAGGACGGAAAGACCCCGUGGAGCUUUACUGUAGCCUGAUAUUGAAAUUCGGCACAGCUUGUACAGGAUAGGUAGGAGCCUUUGAAACGUGAGCGCUAGCUUACGUGGAGGCGCUGGUGGGAUACUACCCUAGCUGUGUUGGCUUUCUAACCCGCACCACUUAUCGUGGUGGGAGACAGUGUCAGGCGGGCAGUUUGACUGGGGCGGUCGCCUCCUAAAAGGUAACGGAGGCGCUCAAAGGUUCCCUCAGAAUGGUUGGAAAUCAUUCAUAGAGUGUAAAGGCAUAAGGGAGCUUGACUGCGAGACCUACAAGUCGAGCAGGGUCGAAAGACGGACUUAGUGAUCCGGUGGUUCCGCAUGGAAGGGCCAUCGCUCAACGGAUAAAAGCUACCCCGGGGAUAACAGGCUUAUCUCCCCCAAGAGUUCACAUCGACGGGGAGGUUUGGCACCUCGAUGUCGGCUCAUCGCAUCCUGGGGCUGUAGUCGGUCCCAAGGGUUGGGCUGUUCGCCCAUUAAAGCGGUACGCGAGCUGGGUUCAGAACGUCGUGAGACAGUUCGGUCCCUAUCCGUCGUGGGCGUAGGAAAUUUGAGAGGAGCUGUCCUUAGUACGAGAGGACCGGGAUGGACAUACCUCUGGUGUACCAGUUGUCGUGCCAACGGCAUAGCUGGGUAGCUAUGUGUGGACGGGAUAAGUGCUGAAAGCAUCUAAGCAUGAAGCCCCCCUCAAGAUGAGAUUUCCCAACUUCGGUUAUAAGAUCCCUCAAAGAUGAUGAGGUUAAUAGGUUCGAGGUGGAAGCAUGGUGACAUGUGGAGCUGACGAAUACUAAUCGAUCGAAGACUUAAUCAAAA